RNAcentral lists this long non-coding RNA (207 nucleotides) under Elaeis guineensis (African oil palm). RNAcentral's name for it is "long non-coding RNA (EGUI_LNC059238)". The record is from RNAcentral. Lineage: Eukaryota; Viridiplantae; Streptophyta; Magnoliopsida; Arecales; Arecaceae.
GUCAGUCCAAUUAUACCAAUUAACUAGAACUCUUUUGAAUUAAUUUUUAAAUUAAUUUUUUUUAAUUCUUGUGAGUCUAUAAGUCAAGAUUGACGUCUAGCAAUGUGUCAUGACUAUCCGAAAGAGAUGAAAUUUGGUAAAAAUAUCAAAAAUACUCUUCAGUGAUAAGUUACCGUGUAAUUCAAUUUUUUAGUCAAACAACACCCC